This 305-nucleotide ribosomal RNA is filed under the name uncultured bacterium. RNAcentral's name for it is "bacterial SSU rRNA". It matches the Rfam family "Bacterial small subunit ribosomal RNA", at positions 334 to 656 of the family's 1533-position model. The record is from RNAcentral.
UAUCCCUACGGGACGCAGCAGUGGGGAAUAUUGCACAAUGGGGGAAACCCUGAUGCAGCGACGCCGCGUGAGUGAGGAAGUAUUUCGGUAUGUAAAGCUCUAUCAGCAGGGAAGAAAAUGACGGUACCUGACUAAGAAGCCCCGGCUAACUACGUGCCAGCAGCCGCGGUAAUACGUAGGGGGCAAGCGUUAUCCGGAUUUACUGGGUGUAAAGGGAGCGGAGACGGAGGAGCAAGUCUGAUGUGAAAAUCCGUGGCCCAACCCCGGAACUGCAUUGGAAACUGUUUAUCUAGAGUGUAGCAGAG